This 478-nucleotide ribosomal RNA is filed under the name uncultured bacterium. RNAcentral describes it as "partial 16S ribosomal RNA". It matches the Rfam family "Bacterial small subunit ribosomal RNA", at positions 28 to 523 of the family's 1533-position model. The record is from RNAcentral.
GACGAACGCUGGCGGCGUGCUUAACACAUGCAAGUCGAACGGUAAGGCCCUUCGGGGUACACGAGUGGCGAACGGGUGAGUAACACGUGGGUGAUCUGCCCUGCACUUCGGGAUAAGCCUGGGAAACUGGGUCUAAUACCGGAUAGGACUCCGGACUGCAUGGUCUGGGGUGGAAAGCUUUUGCGGUGUGGGAUGGGCCCGCGGCCUAUCAGCUUGUUAGUGGGGUGAUGGCCUAACAAGGCGACGACGGGUAGCCGGCCUGAGAGGGUGACCGGCCACACUGGGACUGAGAUACGGCCCAGACUCCUACGGGAGGCAGCAGUGGGGAAUAUUGCACAAUGGGCGCAAGCCUGAUGCAGCGACGCCGCGUGAGGGAUGAGGGCCUUCGGGUUGUAAACCUCUUUCAGCAUCGACGAAGCGAAAGUGACGGUAGGUGCAGAAGAAGGACCGGCCAACUACGUGCCAGCCGCCGCCGUAA